ACACUGGUCAUUCAGUGGUAGAAUUCUCACUUUCCAUGUGAGAGACGUGGGGUAGAGUCCCAGUCAAUGCA
This 71-nucleotide transfer RNA is filed under the name Loxodonta africana (African savanna elephant). It matches the Rfam family "tRNA". From Rfam's summary of the family: Transfer RNA (tRNA) molecules are approximately 80 nucleotides in length. Their secondary structure includes four short double-helical elements and three loops (D, anti-codon, and T loops). Further hydrogen bonds mediate the characteristic L-shaped molecular structure. tRNAs have two regions of fundamental functional importance: the anti-codon, which is responsible for specific mRNA codon recognition, and the 3' end, to which the tRNAs corresponding amino acid is attached (by aminoacyl-tRNA synthetases). tRNAs cope with the degeneracy of the genetic code in two manners: having more than one tRNA (with a specific anti-codon) for a particular amino acid; and 'wobble' base-pairing, i.e. permitting non-standard base-pairing at the 3rd anti-codon position. Lineage: Eukaryota; Metazoa; Chordata; Mammalia; Proboscidea; Elephantidae. The record is from Rfam by way of RNAcentral.